This 450-nucleotide ribosomal RNA is filed under the name uncultured bacterium. Its description in RNAcentral is "partial 16S ribosomal RNA". It matches the Rfam family "Bacterial small subunit ribosomal RNA", at positions 354 to 796 of the family's 1533-position model. The record is from RNAcentral.
GUGGGGAAUUUUGGACAAUGGGCGCAAGCCUGAUCCAGCCAUUCCGCGUGCAGGAUGAAGGCCUUCGGGUUGUAAACUGCUUUUGUACGGAACGAAAAGGUUCUCUCUAAUACAGGGGGCUGAUGACGGUACCGUAAGAAUAAGCACCGGCUAACUACGUGCCAGCAGCCGCGGUAAUACGUAGGGUGCAAGCGUUAAUCGGAAUUACUGGGCGUAACGCGUGCGCAGGCGGUGAUGUAAGACAGAUGUGAAAUCCCCGGGCUCAACCUGGGAACUGCAUUUGUGACGGCAUUGCUGGAGUGCGGCAGAGGGGGAUGGAAUUCCGCGUGUAGCAGUGAAAUGCGUAGUUAUGCGGAGGAACACCGAUGGCGAAGGCAAUCCCCUGGGCCUGCACUGACGCUCAUGCACGAAAGCGUGGGGAGCAAACAGGAUUAGAUACCCGGGUAGUCC